CGCGUAGGCGGUUUGUUUAGUUAGGCGUGAAAUUCCUGGGCUUAACCUGGGGACUGCGCUUAAUACAGGCAGACUUGAGUUCGGGAAGAGGGUCGUGGAAUUCCCAGUGUAGAGGUGAAAUUCGUAGAUAUUGGGAAGAACACCGGUGGCGAAGGCGGCGACCUGGUCCGAUACUGACGCUGAGGCGCGAAAGCGUGGGGAGCAAACA
This 208-nucleotide ribosomal RNA is filed under the name uncultured bacterium. RNAcentral describes it as "partial 16S ribosomal RNA". It matches the Rfam family "Bacterial small subunit ribosomal RNA", at positions 568 to 774 of the family's 1533-position model. The record is from RNAcentral.